This 253-nucleotide long non-coding RNA is filed under the name Homo sapiens (human). The record is from RNAcentral. Lineage: Eukaryota; Metazoa; Chordata; Mammalia; Primates; Hominidae.
AGCAGCAACAUGGUUUGACUCCAAUUUUGAAAGUUCUACUGUGGAUAAAAUGCUAUCACACAGCAUCACAUGUUAGAAAUAUUUCGUGAAAGGAAAAGUCAAUCGAUGCAGCAAACUUCAUUAUCUUAUUUAAAGAAACUGACAGAGCCAUCCCAACCUUCAAGCAGCUACCAUCCUAAUCAGUCAGCAGUAAUCAACAUCAAGGCAAGAACCUCCAACAGCAAAACGAUUAUGUGUUAAUGGCUCAGAUGAC